Molecule: small nucleolar RNA, 139 nt
Organism: Salvia miltiorrhiza (redroot sage)
Lineage: Eukaryota; Viridiplantae; Streptophyta; Magnoliopsida; Lamiales; Lamiaceae
Product: small nucleolar RNA Z247
Exons: 1
Source: RefSeq, a predicted model, not a curated record
AGAGUUGAUGAAGAUGAUCAAAUCAUGCAUACUCUUGCGGGUCUUGGACCAGAGUAUGAUUCUGUUAUGGUUACUAUCACUUCUAAGCCAGAGGCAUGGUCUCUUGGAGAUGUGAGCUCCUUGUUGCUAAGCUUUGAGA